UGGGGAAUAUUGGACAAUGGGCGCAAGCCUGGUCCAGCCAUGCCGCGUGAGUGAAGAAGGCCCUCGGGUUGUAAAGCUCUUUUGUCCGGAAAGAAAAGCACUUGGCUAAUACCCAGGUGUCCUGACGGUACCGGAAGAAUAAGCACCGGCUAACUUCGUGCCAGCAGCCGCGGUAAUACGAAGGGUGCAAGCGUUACUCGGAAUUACUGGGCGUAAAGCGUGCGUAGGUGGUUCGUUAAGUCUGAUGUGAAAGCCCUGGGCUCAACCUGGGAAUUGCAUUGGAUACUGGCGGGCUAGAGUGCGGUAGAGGAUGGCGGAAUUCCCGGUGUAGCAGUGAAAUGCGUAGAGAUCGGGAGGAACAUCCGUGGCGAAGGCGGCCAUCUGGACCAGCACUGACACUGAGGCACGAAAGCGUGGGGAGCAAA
This 425-nucleotide ribosomal RNA is filed under the name uncultured bacterium. Its description in RNAcentral is "bacterial SSU rRNA". It matches the Rfam family "Bacterial small subunit ribosomal RNA", at positions 355 to 772 of the family's 1533-position model. The record is from RNAcentral.